This 497-nucleotide ribosomal RNA is filed under the name uncultured bacterium. RNAcentral describes it as "partial 16S ribosomal RNA". It matches the Rfam family "Bacterial small subunit ribosomal RNA", at positions 28 to 507 of the family's 1533-position model. The record is from RNAcentral.
GAUGAACGCUGGCGGCGUGCCUAAUACAUGCAAGUCGAGCGAACGGACGAGAAGCUUGCUUCUCUGAUGUUAGCGGCGGACGGGUGAGUAACACGUGGAUAACCUACCUAUAAGACUGGGAUAACUUCGGGAAACCGGAGCUAAUACCGGAUAAUAUUUUGAACCGCAUGGUUCAAAAGUGAAAGACGGUCUUGCUGUCACUUAUAGAUGGAUCCGCGCUGCAUUAGCUAGUUGGUAAGGUAACGGCUUACCAAGGCAACGAUGCAUAGCCGACCUGAGAGGGUGAUCGGCCACACUGGAACUGAGACACGGUCCAGACUCCUACGGGAGGCAGCAGUAGGGAAUCUUCCGCAAUGGGCGAAAGCCUGACGGAGCAACGCCGCGUGAGUGAUGAAGGUCUUCGGAUCGUAAAACUCUGUUAUUAGGGAAGAACAUAUGUGUAAGUAACUGUGCACAUCUUGACGGUACCUAAUCAGAAAGCCACGGCUAACUACGUC